Molecule: long non-coding RNA, 746 nt
Filed under: Homo sapiens (human)
Lineage: Eukaryota; Metazoa; Chordata; Mammalia; Primates; Hominidae
Description: HSALNT0267290
Source: RNAcentral
AAAUGCCCAGAGACCCGGGACUGAGGGAAGCCUGCCUGGUUCACUGAAAGAGGGAUCUGGGUCCAGGGCCCAGGCUCAGCUUCCCCGGAGAUCCCUUCCCGGAGAACCGACUGGUGCCGGUUCCCCCGCAGCGGGGCGCCGAUCCCCAGCGAACCUCGCCACUGGGGGAACCUGGAAGGGAAAAGCGGGAUAGUUGGAGCGGUCAAGACGAGAGCCCGGAGCAGCGGGCCCUGGUCCUAGUGCUGCGCGGUGGCUCGGGGGACUCCAGAGUCUCAUUCCCCCGCGCCGCACACUCCAGCCACCUCGGGACCCCGCUCGGCAGCCCUUCCCCGCCAGGCAGCGCCGAGAUAAAAAACAGAAGAGAAAUCAAAACAGAAGGAGAAAGUUUUCUGAAAUGAAAGAGGUUACGAAGGAAGGGCUAAAAGAAUGGGAAAUGUCAAAGAAAGAAAAAGGAUGCCAGGAGGCAAGGGAAUGGUGCCUAGGCUCCCACCCGUCCCCGCGCACAAGGACCCGAGGCUCCCGGCAAGCCCAGCUGAGCGCCUUCCCCGACCCGCCUCUCUGAAAGUGGCGGCGGCGGAUCCAGUCCGCACAGCCUCCCGCACACCCCCCAGAGAUCCGGGGUCGCAAGAGGCGGGAUUCGCGCCGGACUAGACUGCAGCUGCUCCAGCCACGGGCGCGGUCCGAAGGGAAGCCCUCGUCCGGGGGCCUGCUGUGCCCCGUGCGUGCGUCCGGGUGUCUGAGCGUGC